AAAGAGGGGGACCUUCGGGCCUCUCGCGUCAGGAUUAGCCCAGGUGAGAUUAGCUAGUUGGUAAGGUAACGGCUUACCAAGGCAACGAUCUCUAGCUGGUCUGAGAGGAUGAUCAGCCACACUGGAACUGAGACACGGUCCAGACUCCUACGGGAGGCAGCAGUGGGGAAUAUUGCACAAUGGGGGAAACCCUGAUGCAGCCAUGCCGCGUGUGUGAAGAAGGCCUUCGGGUUGUAAAGCACUUUCAGUCGUGAGGAAGGCGGCUAGGUUAAUAGCNUGGUUGUUUGACGUUAGCGACAGAAGAAGCACCGGCUAACUCCGUGCCAGCAGCCGCGGUAAUACGGAGGGUGCGAGCGUUAAUCGGAAUUACUGGGCGUAAAGCGCAUGCAGGCGGCUUGUUAAGCCAGAUGUGAAAGCCCGGGGCUCAACCUCGGAAUCGCAUUUGGAACUGGCAGGCUAGAGUCUUGUAGAGGGGGGUAGAAUUUCAGGUGUAGCGGUGAAAUGCGUAGAGAUCUGAAGGAAUACCAGUGGCGAAGGCGGCCCC
RNAcentral lists this ribosomal RNA (544 nucleotides) under Photobacterium sp. THM-B16. RNAcentral's name for it is "bacterial SSU rRNA". It matches the Rfam family "Bacterial small subunit ribosomal RNA", at positions 202 to 728 of the family's 1533-position model. The record is from RNAcentral. Lineage: Bacteria; Pseudomonadati; Pseudomonadota; Gammaproteobacteria; Vibrionales; Vibrionaceae.